GAUGAACGCUGGCGGCGUGCCUAAUACAUGCAAGUCGAGCGAACAGACGAGGAGCUUGCUCCUCUGACGUUAUCGGCGGACGGGUGAGUAACACGUGGAUAACCUACCUAUAAGACUGGGAUAACCUCGGGAAACCGGAGCUAAUACCGGAUAAUAUAUUGAACCGCAUGGUUCAAUAGUGAAAGACGGUUUUGCUGUCACUUAUAGAUGGAUCCGCGCCGCAUUAGCUAGUUGGUAAGGUAACGGCUUACCAAGGCAACGAUGCGUAGCCGACCUGAGAGGGUGAUCGGACACCCUGGAACUGAGAAACGGUCCAGACUCCUACGGGAGGACGCAGUAGGGAAUCUUCCGCAAUGGGCGAAAGCUUGACGGAGCAAAGCCGCGUGAGUGAUGAAGGUCUUCGGAUCGUAGAACUCUGUUAUUAGGGAAGAACAAAUGUGUAAGUAACUAUGCACGUAUUGACGGUACCUAAUCAGAAAGCCACGGCUAACUACGUG
RNAcentral lists this ribosomal RNA (497 nucleotides) under uncultured bacterium. RNAcentral's name for it is "partial 16S ribosomal RNA". It matches the Rfam family "Bacterial small subunit ribosomal RNA", at positions 28 to 507 of the family's 1533-position model. The record is from RNAcentral.